RNAcentral lists this long non-coding RNA (1978 nucleotides) under Chloebia gouldiae (Gouldian finch). RNAcentral describes it as "Erythrura gouldiae (Gouldian finch) lncRNA (ENSEGOG00005011675.1)". The record is from RNAcentral. Lineage: Eukaryota; Metazoa; Chordata; Aves; Passeriformes; Passeridae.
CCGGGAAAAACGGGAAUUCUGGGAAAAUGGGAAAUUCAGGAAUUUUGGGAAAAUGGGGAAUUCGGGAAUCUUGGGAAAAUGGGGAAUUCGGGAUUUCUGGGAAAAACAGGAAAUUUGGGAGUCUUGGGAAAUCGAGAAAUUUGGGGAUUUUUGGGAAAAUGGGAAAUUUGGGAUUUCUGGGAAAACGGGAAAUUCGGGAAUUCCGGGAAAAUGGGAUAUUGGGGAUAUCUGGGAAAUCUGGGAUUUAUGGGAAAAUGGGAAAAUCGGGAAUUCCGGGAAAAUGGGAUAUUGGGGAUAUCUGGGAAAUCUGGGAUUUAUGGGAAAACGGGAAAAUCGGGAAUUCCGGGAAAAUGGGAUAUUGGGGAUUUCUGGGAAAUUCGGGAUUUCUGGGAAAAUGGGAAAUUUGGGAAUCCCGGAAAAUUGGGAAAUUUGGAAUUUCUGGGAAAAUGGGAAAUUUGGGAUUUCUGGGAAAAUCGGGAAUUCCAGGAAAAAUGGGAAAAUCGGGAAAAACGGGGGAAAAAAUGGGAAAUUCGGGAAUCCUGGGAAAAUGGGAUAUUGGGGAUUUCUGGGAAAUGCGGGAAUCCUGGGAAAACGGGAAAUUUUGAAUUUCUGGGAAAAUGGGAAAUUCGGGAUUCCCGGGAAAACGGGAAAAUUGGAAAUCUUGGGAAAAUGGGAAAUUUGGGGAUUUCUGGGAAAUUUGGGAAUUCCGGGAAAAUGGGAAAUUUGGGAUUCCUGAGAAAUUUGGGAUUUCUGGGAAAAUGGGAAAUUUGGGAAUCCUGGGAAAAACGGGAAAUUUGGGGAUCCUGGGAAAAUUGGGAUUUCCGGGAAAUUCGGGAAUUCCGGGAAAAUGGGAUAUUGGGGAUUUCUGGGAAAUUCAGGGUUCAUGGGAAAUUCGGGAUUCUUGGGAAAAUGGGGAAUUUGGGAUUCCCGGGGAAAUUUGGGAAAUUUGGGAUUUCUGGGAAAUUUGGGAUUCUUGGGAUAUCGGGAAAUUUGGGAUUUCCGGGAAAAUGGGAUAUUGGGGAUUUCUGGGAAAAUCAGGAAUCCCGGGAAAAACGGGAAUUCCAGGAAAAAAUGGGAAAAUCAGGAAAAAUGGGAAAAUGGGAUAUUUGGGAAUUCCGGGAAAAACAGGAAAUUUGGGAUUUCUGGGAAAAUGGGAAAUUUGGGAUUUCUGGGAAGAAAAUGGGAAAUUUGGGAAUCCCGGAAAAUUGGGAAAUUCAGGAUUUCUGGGAAAAUGGGAAAAUUGGGAUUCUUGGGAUAUCGGGAAAUUUGGGAUUUCCAGGAAAAAUGGGAAAUUUGGGAUUCCCGGGAAAUCGGGAAUGGGAAAAUUGGGAUUUUUGGGAUCUGUGACUGGAGAAAAUCUGGGAUCUCCUGGGAUCAGGGAUUGGGGAUCGGAGGAAAUUCGGGAUUGGGGAUUGGAGGAAAUUUGGGAUUGGGGAUCAGAGGAAAUUCGGGAUUCCGGGGAUGGGGGAACGGGGCCGGAUCAAGGGCGGGACCCCCCCGGAUCUCCGGGAAUUCCGGAAUUCCGGGAAUGCCGGGAGCGGCGGCCGUACCUGCGCGAGGAGCUGUGCUCCCGACCUGCCGGGAAAGAGCCGCUGUCAGAUCCCAAAAUUCCCAAAUUCCAAAAAUUCCCAAAUUCCCAAAUUCCCAAACCCCAAAAUCCCAAAAAUCCCCAAAUCCCCAAAUUUCCAAAACCCCAAAUUCCAAAUCCCAAAUCCCCAAAUCCCAGCUCCCAAAAAUCCCAAAUCCCAAAAUCCCAAAUCUCAAAAUCCCAAAUCCCAAAUGCACAAAAUUCCAAAUCCCCAAAAUCCUCAAUCCAAAUUCCAAAAUCCCAAAAUCCCAAAUUCCUCAAAUCCCAGCUCCCAAAAAUCCCAAAUCCCCCAAAUUCCCAAAAUCCCCAAUCCCAAAAUCCCCAACCCCGAAUCCCCAAAUCCCAGCUCCCAAAAAUCCCAAAUCCCAAAUUCCCCAAAAUUCCCAAAUU